GUGUCAGCAGCCGCGGUAAGACGAACCGUACGAACGUUAUUCGGAAUCACUGGGCUUAAAGGGUGCGUAGGCUGUGCGGCAAGUUGGGUGUGAAAUCCCCCGGCUCAACCGGGGAAUUGCGCCCAAAACUGCCGUGCUCGAGGGAGACAGAGGUGAGCGGAACUUCGGGUGGAGCGGUGAAAUGCGUUGAUAUCCGAAGGAACACCAGUGGCGAAAGCGGCUCACUGGGUCUCCACUGACGCUGAGGCACGAAAGCUAGGGGAGCGAACGGGAUUAGAUACCCCGGUAGUCCUAGCCGUAAACGAUGAGCACUGGGUUGGAGGGUCCUCCAUAACCUUCCAGCCGCAGCGAAAGUGUUAAGUGCUCCGCCUGGGGAGUAUGGUCGCAAGGCUGAA
Molecule: ribosomal RNA, 395 nt
Filed under: uncultured bacterium
Lineage: Bacteria
Description: bacterial SSU rRNA
Rfam family: Bacterial small subunit ribosomal RNA
Source: RNAcentral